This 640-nucleotide ribosomal RNA is filed under the name uncultured bacterium. RNAcentral's name for it is "bacterial SSU rRNA". It matches the Rfam family "Bacterial small subunit ribosomal RNA", at positions 338 to 969 of the family's 1533-position model. The record is from RNAcentral.
CCUACGGGUGGCAGCAGUCGAAAAUCAUUCACAAUGGGGGCAACCCUGAUGGUGCGACGCCGCGUGGAGGAUAAGGUCUUCGGAUUGUAAACUCCUGUCAUGCGAGAGCAAGAUUUGAGCGGGUAACUCCGCUGAAUUUGAUAGUAUCGCAAGAGGAAGAGACGGCUAACUCUGUGCCAGCAGCCGCGGCUAAUACAGAGGUCUCAAGCGUUGUUCGGAAUCACUGGGCGUAAAGGGUGCGUAGGUGGCGUGGAAAGUCAGAUGUGAAAUCCGGGGGCUCAACCUCCGAAUAGCAUCCGAUACUCCCAUGCUAGAGAACUGGAGGGGGAUCUGGAAUUCUCGGUGUAGCAGUGAAAUGCGUAGAUAUCGAGAGGAACACUAGUGGCGAAGGCGAGAUCCUGGACAGUAUCUGACACUGAUGCACGAAGGUCAGGGNAGCAAACGGGAUUAGAUACCCCGGUAGUCCUGACAGUAAACGGUGCACGUUUGGUGUGGGAGGAUUCGACCCCUUCUGUGCCGGAGCUAACGCGUUAAACGUGCCGCCUGGGAAGUACGGUCGCAAGAUUAAAACUCAAAGAAAUUGACGGGGACCCGCACAAGCGGUGGAGUAUGUGGCUUAAUUCGAUGCAACGCGAAGAAC